Molecule: ribosomal RNA, 1302 nt
Filed under: Triticum aestivum (bread wheat)
Lineage: Eukaryota; Viridiplantae; Streptophyta; Magnoliopsida; Poales; Poaceae
Description: partial small subunit ribosomal RNA
Source: RNAcentral
AUGCGUCUCGUUGGCUCUCUGGCACCUCACAUCGGUAACCUCUCUUUCCUUUCCAUCCUUAACCUCACCCGCAACAAUCUGAUGGGCUCCAUUUCAGUGGAACUUGGUAGGUUACAUCGUCUUAGGUAUCUCGAUCUCAUGAGAAAUACGUUUUCUGACGCCAUACCUACUACCCUUGGGAACCUCACAAGGCUUGUGCGCCUUCGUCUAGGUUACAAUGAACUCUCGGGCCAGAUCCCUCCUGGGAUGUUGAUCCAUAUGCACAACCUUAAAGAAAUUGUCCUGCACCAAAAUGAAUUGAGUGGCCAAAUACCGUUGUAUUUGUUCAAUAAUACACCUUCUUUGGCAGUCAUCCAUCUUGGAAAUAUCAGCCUUUCAGGUCCAAUACCAAAUGCUGUUGCAUCCCUAUCCAUGCUUGAGAUCUUCAGUGUACAGCAUAAUCAACUCUCCGGUCUACUUCCACAAGCCAUGUUCAACAUGUCUAAGCUGCGAAUUAUGGCGUUCGAAGAAUGCGGUAACCUAACUGGAAUCAUUCCGAGCAAUCAAAGUUUUAGCCUCCCAAUGUUGCAAUUUUUUGCAAUAUCUGGGAACAAAUUUGAGGGUCGGUUUUCAAUAGGGUUAGCAUCAUGUCAAUACCUCCAGGAACUUGAUUUGAGUAGUAACUCCUUUGCGGAUGUUGUGCCAACAUGGUUAGCCAAAUUGUCACAACUAAAAAUGCUUAUCUUGGGUUCUAAUAACCUUACUGGCUUCAUCCCAGUUGCUCUUAGUAAUCUCACUAGUCUUAAUGCACUAGCACUUGACAACGGAAAUCUUAAAGGGGAGAUUCCACCUAAUUUAGGUCAUUUACAUGAACUCUGGUUUCUUAAUCUUGGGAGAAAUCAAUUGCUAGGUAAAAUUCCUGACUCCCUCGGCAACUUAUCGAAAUUAUCAAUCCUUGGUUUGUCUCAUAAUCAAUUAUCUGGCCAAGUACCAACAAAACUUGGAAAUAUUGUAGCUUUAAACAAGCUUCUAUUGCAAAAUAAUAAUUUAGAAGGAAAUCUAGACUUCUUGUUAGCUCUUUCCAAGUGUAGACAACUCCAAAUCCUUGAUAUGGGAUCUAAUUUUUUCACAGGUGUCCUCCCUAGCUAUGUCGGAAACCUCAGUACACAAUUAGACAUGUUCAUUGCACCCGAUAACAAGUUAAUAGGUGGACUUCCAUUAGCGAUUUCAAACCUAAGCAACAUUGGUCUAAUAGACCUUAGCCACAACCAAUUCACUGAGCCCAUUCCAGAAUCCAUCCUUAUGUUGGAAAAUCUUGUGUGA